Molecule: ribosomal RNA, 497 nt
Filed under: uncultured bacterium
Lineage: Bacteria
Description: partial 16S ribosomal RNA
Rfam family: Bacterial small subunit ribosomal RNA
Source: RNAcentral
GACGAACGCUGGCGGCGUGCCUAAUACAUGCAAGUUGAGCGCUGAAGGUUGGUACUUGUACCAACUGGAUGAGCAGCGAACGGGUGAGUAACGCGUGGGGAAUCUGCCUUUGAGCGGGGGACAACAUUUGGAAACGAAUGCUAAUACCGCAUAAAAACUUUAAACACAAGUUUUAAGUUUGAAAGAUGCAAUUGCAUCACUCAAAGAUGAUCCCGCGUUGUAUUAGCUAGUUGGUGAGGUAAAGGCUCACCAAGGCGAUGAUACAUAGCCGACCUGAGAGGGUGAUCGGCCACAUUGGGACUGAGACACGGCCCAAACUCCUACGGGAGGCAGCAGUAGGGAAUCUUCGGCAAUGGACGAAAGUCUGACCGAGCAACGCCGCGUGAGUGAAGAAGGGUUACGGAUCGUAAAACUCUGUUGGUAGAGAAGAACGUUGGCGAGAGUGGAAAGCUCAUCAAGUGACGGUAACUACCCAGAAAGGGACGGCUAACUACGUG